GCCGGCGUAGCUUAGUUUGGUAGAGUAGCGGGCUGUUAACUCGUUGGUCAACGGUUCGAGUCCGUUCGCCGGCGCCA
RNAcentral lists this transfer RNA (77 nucleotides) under Candidatus Bathyarchaeota archaeon. RNAcentral describes it as "tRNA-Asn". It matches the Rfam family "tRNA". Rfam says of the family: Transfer RNA (tRNA) molecules are approximately 80 nucleotides in length. RNAcentral also lists the same sequence under 1 other name. The record is from RNAcentral. Lineage: Archaea; Thermoproteati; Candidatus Bathyarchaeota.